Molecule: long non-coding RNA, 6121 nt
Filed under: Sus scrofa (pig)
Lineage: Eukaryota; Metazoa; Chordata; Mammalia; Artiodactyla; Suidae
Description: lncRNA (ENSSSCG00005000964.1)
Source: RNAcentral
UUUAAAGACAACGAGCUUUGAAGGAAAGCAAAGAUAUCAUUUAGCUGAAGGCUGACAUGGGAUCAGAGAGCACUUCUGUUUGGUGGAAAAGGGGUAAACUGUUUUCCUUUAAAUAAAACACUUGAAUGCUGCUUAUGAUAACUCAGGAGAAAGCAAAAUGUAAACAGGCAGUGAAGAAAGUUUCUAAGAAAUGUUCUAAGAAGUUUCUAAGAUGGUACCACAGGAAGGAAUCUAAAAACACAUGAAGGAUCAGGUCUUUCCUUCAAUGAGAAUCAUUUCCUUCAUUGUAAAGAAAGGAGCUAAGGCAAAAACAGGAACAAAUUCAAGAAAAUUCUCAGAUUCAGAAGUAGGAAUAUAAAUCUUCUAUUUUAUCUGUGAUAAAUGAGACCAGGGCGGGGGAGGAGAAGCAAAAGCACAGGGGAGAAAGUGAAGACUGAGUGGAGAACUGAAGAUACUCUGAAGAAAAGCAGCUAUUUCCAGAGGUAGAAAUCAUGGGGUGGGGGACAAGCUUUUGGAAAUGGGAAAUGAGUCAGUUGAAUAAAGAUCAACUUCUGAAGAAAUCAUUAAAAGAAAGGCUGUGGUGGUAUUUUCAGUUUGCAAAUAUAUAUAUACUUUUUUUUUUUUUUUUUGCUUUAAUGGCUGUACCCGCAGCAUAUGAAGGUUUCCAAGCUAAGGGUUGAAUUGGAGCUACAGCUGCUAGCCUACACAGCCACAGCCACUACAGACCUGAGCCAAGUCUGCCACCUCCACCACAGCUCACAGCAAAGCCAGAUCCCUAACCCACUGAGCGAGGCCAGGGCUCAAACCCGCAUCCUCAUGGAUACUAGUCAGAUUCAUUUCCACUGCACCACAGUGGAAACUCCUCAGUUUGCAAAUAUUAAAUCCUGUCAAGAGCCAACUAGGUCUUCACAUCCCUUGAUCCAUAUUCCUUCCACCUAUCGGAAUUGAUUCCAAAGAAAUAACCUUUCAAAGGAGAAAACUACAGAUAGUGUUAUGUAUAAAAUUACAGUGUGAUUAAUAACAGGGAAAAAACCUAAAUGACCAUGAUGGUUAGUUUUAUAUGUCAAUUUUGCACUGGUACAGUGUACAGUUGUUUAAUUAAACACUAAUCUAGGUGCUCCUGUGAAGGUAUUUUACAGAUAUGGUAAACAUCUACAUUUAGUUGACUUUAAACAAAGGAGCCUAUCCUUCAUAACUUGGGUAUGCUUCAUCCAAACAGUUGAAAGGCCUCAAGAGCUUCCCUACAAAAGAAUUCUACCGAUUCUGUUUCUCAGUAGGACAAUGACAGAUACAAUGGUUUUAGGCAAAUUAUGGAAUAUCAUCUUAAGUUUUAUAAUGAACACUAAAGAGUAACAUGGGGAAAAUGUUUAUAAGUCAAGGGGAAAAGGCAAACAACAAACUUAAGUCUACACUAUGGUUAUAAUUAUGUAAAUAAGUAUGUUUACAUAUAAGAAGGAAACAAAACAGUUUAUUCAUUUGAUUGAUGGAAUUGUGCCUGAAUUUUAAAUUUAUUAAGUAUUAAAAAAUAGUUUGUUAAAUAGAGCUCUGUUAAUUUUAAUGGAAGAAAGUAACAUUAUAAUGUGUUAAACCUGGGAUUCCCGACUAGUAUUCAUGAGGACAUGGGUUCGAUCCCUGGCCCUGCUCAGUGGGUUAAGGAUCCAGCAUUGCCGUGAGCUGUGGUGUAGAUUGCAGACAUGGCUUGGAUCUGGCAUUGCUGUUGCUAUGGUGUACGCCAGCAGUUGCAGCUUCGAUUCUCCCCCUACCCACCUAGGGAGCUUCCAAAUGCUGCAGGUGCAGCCCUAAAAAGACAAAGAUAAUAAUAAUAAUAAUGUGUUAAAUCUUAUAAGAAUUACAUGGCACUUUAAACAAACUCAUAACUGGCACUCCCAUCGUGGCUCAGUGGUUAACGAAUCCGACUAGGAACCAUGAGGUUGCAGGCUUGAUCCCCCGUCUCACUCAGUGGGUUAAGGAUCCGGCGUUGCUGUGAGCUGUGGUGUAAGUCACAGACGUGGCUCAGAUCUGGCAAUUCUGUGGCUCUGGUGUAGGCCAAUGGCUACAGCUCCGAUUAGACCCCUAGCCUAGGAACCUCCAUAUGCCACAGGUGCAGCCCUAGAAAAGACAAAAUUUUUUUAAAAAAAAAAAAAAAGACAAAAGAAAAACCUCAUAACUAAUCUAAAAGAAACCUGCCACUUUUGAAAUGUUGCCUUGGAAAUACUUUUAGAAAAAAGGACGCUCUGGAAAGCAAAUAUGCCUAGAAGGGCCUGAAUCCAAUGCUGUUUUUCAGUAACAUGUAAUUCCUCAAUUCAAAUGAAAUGAAAGACCUAGAAUGGCAAAGUAACUGAUGAUCAGCCUAAGAACUGUUCACAUCCAGAGUUCCCGUUGCAGCUCAGUGGAUUAGGAUCCCAACUAGUAUCCAUGAGGAUGCAGGUUUGAUUCCUGGCCUCGUUCAGUGUGUUAAGGAUCCAGUAUUGCUGCAAGCUGAGGUAUAUAGGUCACAGACGUGGCUUCGAUCCAGCUUUGCUGUGGCUGUGGUGUAGACCAGCAGCUGCAGCUCCAAUUCAACCCCUGGCCUGCUAACUAGCUAACAGAGCGAGGCUUCUUCUCUCUUCCCCUUUCCCAAUACCAGACACCAAAAGGAUUAUUACAUGUGUGCUAAACUUGAGUAAAGAAGUCACAUAGCCCUCAAAUAGUCACAUAGACCUGAAAGCUUGGUCCACUUUCACUCAAUCAAAAAACUUACAGGACUUCCUGUGUGGCUCACAACCUAACUACCCAGCAUUGCUUCUACAGUGGCUGUGGAUGGACCCCUGGUUCAGGAACUUCCAUAUGCUGCAGGUGAAAAAAAAAAAAAAUUUACAGAGGAAUUCCCUUAUGGUGCAGUGCAUUAAGGAUCUGGCAUUGUCACUGCAGCAGCUUGGGUUCAAUCCCUGGCCCAGCAACUUCCACAUGCCACAGACAUGGAAAUAAAAAAUCUAUGGAGUGGCUACUAUAUGCUAGGUACGGCGACUACAAUAGGAAGCAAAAAAAAAGACACUUUUUGUAUUUUAAGGAAAAGUACUAAAAAAAAAAGAAUUUGCAGACAUCAGUACACUUCACUCUUAAACAUGUUAGCUCAUACUUUUAAUUACUAAUCAAAUAGCAUUAUUUGAUUAAUGUCUGUCUGCCCUACUAAAGCUCAAAAGAAUCUUUUUUUUUUCUUUUUAGGGCUGCACUUGCAGCAUAUGGAAGUUCCAGGGCCAGGGAUCAAACCAGCCGGCCUAUGCCACAGCCACAAUAACACGGGAUCUAAGCCACAUCUGCAGUCUAUGCCACAGCUUGCAGAAAUGCUGGAUCCGUAACCCACUGAGCAAGGCCAGGGAUUGAGGCCAUAUCCUUAUGGAUACCAGUCAGGUUCUUAACCCAUCGCGCCACAACAGGAACUUGUCUGCAACUUAGUGUGAUAUGCUUCAACAAGAUGGAUUGAUGAACAGAUUAAGGGAUGGAUACUCAAUAAAGUAAACACAGUAAAAUAUUAUAGAAUCUAAAUGAGUAUAAGAAAGCUCACUAAACAUACGCCCAUCCCAAUAUUUUAUUACAAAAAAAUUUUGGAACACACAAAACAGUUUUUAAAAAGUGUACUGUGAGAUAGUUUAAAGAGGAGUUUUGGGUUUUGGUUUUUUUUAAUAAAAAAUUCAGAGUUCUACUUAGUACAGAUAUCCAGAGGCAGUCUCAAAACCACUUGAAAAUCUGGAUUAAUCAAUUUAUUCCUCAAUAUCUAUUUGCUUGUUUGUUUUAUCUGACAAUGACAGAAAACACUCUAUACUCAAGACACUAUAGUAAAAGUGCUGGUUGAUGUCCUCAUUCUAGCAUGGGGCAGGGGCAGUCACUAUUUGUCUCCAUCUAUAAAUUCAGAUUUAUUAAUCCCUUCUCAGUCUCUCAGGAUUAACGAGGAUACUGCACAGGGUAGCAUUUUGAAAAGGUCUCUUCCUACCACUCCAACUUUAUCUCAUACCAUUUACUUUUGCUCCCCAUGCACCAGCCAUAAUGUCCUUUGUUUAGUUCCUCCAUGGUGAACUAAAUCAGUACUAUCCAACAGAAAAAUAAUGCAAGCCACUGACACAAGCUACAUAUGUAAUUUUUUUUUUUUUCAGCCAGGCCCAAAGCCCACAGAUGUUCCCAGGCCAGAGACCAAGACCGAACCCAUGCAACAACACUGACCCAAGCCUCAGCAGUGGCAAUGCCAAAUCCUUAACUACUGUAUAUGUAGGGAACUCCUAUAUAUGAAAUAUUUUUAAAGAUUUUUAAAAGUUAAAAAAGAAAAGCAAGUGAAAUUAAUUUGAAAAUAUAUCUUUGGCUCAGCAAGUUAAGAACCCGAGGAUAUGGGUUCGAUCCCUAGCUUUGCUCAGUGGGUUAAGGAUUGGGUGCUGCUCUGAUUCAUCCCCUAGCCCAGGAACUUGCAUAUGCUGCAGGUGCAGCCCUACAAAGAAAAAAAAAAAAAGAAAGAAACUACAUUUAAUUCAAUUUAUCCCAAAUACUAACAUUUCAACAUAAUUAACAUAAAAAGUUAAUGAGUUAAAAUUUUUUCAUUAGUAAGUCUUCAAAAUCUGAUAUGCAUCUUAUACUUAUAGUACAUCUGUAUGUGAACCAGCCACAUUUCAACUGCUCAGGAGCCCCACCGGCAGUAGAGCAUAAUAGCUCUAAACUUUUACAUACUUGUAAGGGCCUUCAUGAACUUAAAAAUGUUCCCUCUGCUGAUAUGCUCUACACUCUAUUCUCCGAAUGACUAAUAUCCACUUAUCUUGCGUAUCUUAUUUUAAAAGCAUCAUCUCCUCAAUAAGGCCUUCCUGUUAUCACCCUAAAAUUCUCUACACUACUCCUUUAUCUUUUGUAGGACUUAAAAAAACCUGUAACUGCUUAUUUGCAUGUUUAAUGCUUUUCUCUGCAUUCCUCGCUGGAAUGUAAGCUUUAUUAAGAACAAGGACAAGGACUAUUUUUUUUAUUGUUUAUGAUAGUACCCCUAGUACUAAGCACAUGUUUGGCACAUAGGAAGCAAUCAACAAAUAUCUGUAGACUAAUCAACGAAAAGAUAAACAGAAGCACCAUAGAGGUGCAUUAGGUUUGUAUGCAUGUGAAAAUGUGUAUGUUUCCCCUACUCUGCCAGCCCACACAUAAGAAUAUUCUCAGCAGCCAUUCCCAAGUGGCCUGGGACCUUUACAGAGUAGUUAACUAAAGCCAGUCUCUGGCAAGUGGCAGUGGAUAGAAGCAAUGUGAUUUCUGGAAAGAGAAUGAACCGCAAAUAGUUUUUAAAGUUCUCCAAGGAACCAGGAAUUUAUUUAAGUCAAGGGAAAAUGAGGGAAGUGCUACUGGUCAACGUCUUGGGCAGUGACCAACUGGCCAGAGUUGCAGGCAGUAAAAGAGUUCAUCCAAAUCAGGUCAGCAUAGAGAAAGGCAGAUUACUGAGUACACUGCAAGGGAGCAGCAGGCAACGCCACAUAAUAAGAGCUGUCUGCACAAAGACAGCCGUUUGAGGUUGUUACGGAGGGAAAUCGGUUUCCGGAAGGCCCUCUCUCUCUCGCCAUGCAAAUGAGGGCCUGAAACAUGGCGGUCUGGGCUGGCUGAUAUUUGAGGCCACUCAUUGGUCGGUUGGAGGUUAACACAAAAUGGCUUUUGUCAGAUUAGAUGGCUCCCACAGUCAAGGCAGUACCCAAGUGAUGAGAAACCAACACGAGAUGUGAAGACAGAACAUGGAUUAAAGAUUCCAAUUUGCAAAUUCCCCACUCCAUUACCACGGACAAGUCAUUUAACUUCUUCCCAUCUGUAAAAAUAUGAUGCCUUAAGGACAGAAUUAAAUGAGAUUGUAUCUCAAAGUGUUUUGAAAACAGUAAAACCUAAAUAUAUAUUGUCCCUAGGCUGCUUAGGAAACUUUCAAAAGUCUACCAUAAUAAAUUUUUCCCCUUUACUCAUCUAGUUUCUUGUUUUAAGUUACUUUGCAGAUUACACACAGAUAACUUGUUGAACCUAUCAAGCAAAAUCUACUCAGAUACCAAAUAAAAAUCUCAGACUCCAGACUGGCCAGGUAACUCCAGAUGGGAAAAUAAUCUUAAAUGGAAGAAAACACUAUAAAGUCAUAAUUCUCCAACAU